RNAcentral lists this ribosomal RNA (468 nucleotides) under uncultured bacterium. RNAcentral describes it as "partial 16S ribosomal RNA". It matches the Rfam family "Bacterial small subunit ribosomal RNA", at positions 28 to 507 of the family's 1533-position model. The record is from RNAcentral.
GACGAACGCUGGCGGCGUGCUUAACACAUGCAAGUCGAACGGAAAGGCCCUGCUUUUGUGGGGUGCUCGAGUGGCGAACGGGUGAGUAACACGUGAGUAACCUGCCCUUGACUUUGGGAUAACUUCAGGAAACUGGGGCUAAUACCGGAUAGGAGCUCCUGCUGCAUGGUGGGGGUUGGAAAGUUUCGGCGGUUGGGGAUGGACUCGCGGCUUAUCAGCUUGUUGGUGGGGUAGUGGCUUACCAAGGCUUUGACGGGUAGCCGGCCUGAGAGGGUGACCGGCCACAUUGGGACUGAGAUACGGCCCAGACUCCUACGGGAGGCAGCAGUGGGGAAUAUUGCACAAUGGGCGGAAGCCUGAUGCAGCAACGCCGCGUGCGGGAUGACGGCCUUCGGGUUGUAAACCGCCUUCGCCUGCGACGAAGCGUGAGUGACGGUAAUGGGUAAAGAAGCACCGGCUAACUACGUG